This 378-nucleotide ribosomal RNA is filed under the name Triticum aestivum (bread wheat). RNAcentral's name for it is "partial small subunit ribosomal RNA". The record is from RNAcentral. Lineage: Eukaryota; Viridiplantae; Streptophyta; Magnoliopsida; Poales; Poaceae.
AUGAAUGUACAUAAAGUCCCUAAAGAUAGACAAAAAUUCUCUGUCUCCUUUAAAUCACGAUGGAGAUUUCAACUCCAGUGCUGCUCCAGAAAAACCACAGGCUACUUUGGAAUUGUACACAAAAAAGAAAGCUGGAAGUUGGAUGAAGAACAUUCAGAUUAUCUUAUUGACACUGAAGAGACUUCCUGCAGCCAAAGAAAAGUGAACAUUAGACAAGCGCAGAAUUUCUUUAACAAAAACUAUUUUGGUGCAAGCCAAACAGCUAAUACUGGUUCAACCCACAAGGCAUCUUUCUAUAACUACAGCAUCUUGUAUGAAUCAAAACUGCUGAUAGUUUGCAAAUCAAACUCGGACCCUAAGUUCUCGCGAACACCAUGA